Molecule: long non-coding RNA, 2286 nt
Organism: Paramacrobiotus metropolitanus
Lineage: Eukaryota; Metazoa; Tardigrada; Eutardigrada; Parachela; Macrobiotidae
Exons: 8
Source: RefSeq, a predicted model, not a curated record
GUCAGCAGCCGUUUUUCGAGUUUUCUCGUUUGCCAGUUUGUCGGUUUGUACAUUUUCACGAUUCGCACGUGUGCACGAUUUCAUGUAUUGACGUGCGCACAUGUGCACAAUUUCUUGAUUUUCAGUUUUUGAUACUGUUGGUGUUCUUGAGUUCAGGUUUUCGUGUUUUCAGUUUUUGAGACCUUGAUUAAUGAUUUAUUUUUUAUUAUUUUUGAUUUUCAUUUUUGCGAUUUAUUAUUAUUUUUUGAUUCAGAUCCUUUAAUCCAGAAAAUUCAGUUUGGCCGAGGUGGUUUCAUCCCGAAAUUCCUAGUUGGCAUUCCGAGAACUUUUUCCUGGAAUUCCUGAUUGGCAUUCCGAGGACUUUUUCCUAAAAGCCCAUGCAAAUAAGGCCGAUUCCUUCGCCGUUGAUCUGUUUGAAUCGAUGGUGGAAUUUACUGGAGGCUCUCAGGCUCACUAAGAUUUUUUCUUUUUGCAUCACAUUAGAUCGAAAUUCAAGCACGGUUUUGUUGAUAUGCAGCCCGUGACGAAGUUCAGCCCCACUGCCUACAAGAUCAACAUGCGUUCCAUGUCCAGCGCUGUGCAUAUGCUCCAGGAUCGUCUGUCUGUGUUUUCCAGUACAUGGCCACCGUGGAGCAGAAACAGUUGCCACCGGACAAUAAUUAUUGGGUAGCAUGAAUUGGGAAUUGUAAUGCUACCUGCGUGUUUUCUUUGACGUUAAAAAACGUAUGGUUUAAUGCGGACACUUCUUCGCUUAACCAACUGUGGCAGAAGAACGAGCAGAAAAUUAAAAAAACUUGACGCGGCAAUUUCGGAUGUUUAAAGAAUUUGGGAUCUGUCAAAGUGCGCGAAGCGUACCUUGCCAAGUUUAAUAACCUUUCCCGCACUGGAGACAAGGAAGGGGCUGAAAGUGCGUUUCGACAGCGCUUUGAAAAAACAGUAAGUCAAGGCAACAAACUCGAUCCGAUUUUCCAAAUUGUCCGUAUCGGUAUCUUCUUUGAUGAUUUGGAUUUAACCGCACACAUUUUGGAUAAAGCAUGGAGUCUGCUGGAGCAGGGCGGUGAUUGGGAUCGACGAAACCGGCUAAAGGUUUAGCACAUUUACCUGUUCGGAGAUACAUAUUAGACUACGAUACCUACGUGGCGUAUAACGUCAUGUGCGCGAUGCUGACGCUGGAACGAGCGAAACAAAGAAAAAUGACCACUGACCACUUUUACGUAAAAUUUGGUAUGGAUACUCACACUUUCGCUUUAAAAGGGAUAGUUGCCCUAUUAAACAAAGUUGUACGAGUACUAUUCAAUUAUCUUAUUAUGACAGGACUGCUAGUGUAGAGCACUCGCCCAGCAUUUUUGUUUGCUGAUUAUGCAACGUUUCAUUGCGACUGAAGCGAAUUUAUAACUGAGGAGGUUGCUUCUUAUAACGGUGCUAUCACUAUUCAUCGAGUAUAAUUGUAUUAAGUGUGUCCGGAGCGCUGAGACUGUGGAAGUUUUGCUUAGAAUGCCGGAUAUGCGACAGUUUCUCAGCUCAUUGUACGGAUCGCAUUAUGCUGAAUUUUUUCUAGAGCUGGCAAACUUUGAGCAGAAAGUAAAAGCGGACCGGUACUGACUGGGCUGAUCAUCACCUCGACAACACGCGGGAAAUUAUUGUUACGGUCAAGCAUGCUGCCGUUCUUCCGAUCAUUUCGUUCGGCUGUGGUACUUUUGGUUUGUCCACGUUUUCCAGCUAGUCAUUGUGUUGGUUUUACUGAUGUGCAUUGCCAGUAAAUACUAUUGCCGCCGGUGGAUGCUGAUUAACCGAGAACGAUCCACGAUUGUCGUUUACCGCUCACCGAAUGUUAUGGCUUAUCACGUGGGUGAAGCCCAUCCGAGUUUUUAUCCUCGUGCCGAUGUGCAAACAACAGCUGUUUAUCCUACAUACACCGGUCCGGGAACAGGCGGCCUGACCUUUCUAGCUUUACCCGGCGGCGGAAAGUAAUGGUCGGCUGCCGGAGAAUCCAAAGGGCCGCAUCCUGCUCCACCGCCCAGUUGCAGCGAUUUGUACAAAUAGUCGCUUAUUUUGCUGAUGCGUUUUAAAGUAGAACUUGCACGGCCACGUCGCUGAGUUUGAUCUGUCAUUGGUGUUUUUUUAUUUUCCAAACCAUCCGUGUGGGGUGGCUUUGUAAGUUAUUUACAGUGUUGGAGUUUUUUGAACGAUGUGGUGCUACAUGCCGCCCAUUAUAAAACUUUUAAUAAGUAAUAAGGAACUAUUUUUCCGUAUUGUGAAGUUAUAAUAAAAAUAACGGAAUAAAAA